CAUUCCUCAUUCUUCAUUAUCGUUCCCAAAAUUUCUUCCCUUACGUACGCGAACGCGAGAACACACCGGAACGCCCUAAUUUCUUCAUUCUUCAUUCUUCAUUCUCAUUCUUCAUCGUUCCCAAAUUUCUUCCCAAUUUCUUCCCAAAUCGCCAUCAUCCCUAAUUUCUUCCCAAUUUUCAUUCCCAAAUCGCCAAAUCCCUAAAAAUCCCAAAGCGCCAUCGUCCCAAUUUCUUCAAUCAUUCUCCAAACCCUAGACGGCGACCCCUUUAUCAUUCUCCAAAUUUGCUUCAAUCUGCGGUAACAAGCUUCAAUCUGUGCUCAUCUCAGUUGCUGGAAUCACUUCCACUUCCAAAUAUAAAAUGGAUUUGUCCUACUGCUCCUACUGCUCCUAAUAUGCGCACUGUGUUUGUGUGUUUUUUGCUGCAGUGAUUGGUUUGGAGUUUUGGUUUUGGUUCGGAUUCUAGUUUGCAAUUUUACAGGGUCUAGCCUUGUUUGUUAGUAGCUAGCCUUUUGGUUGGUUUCACGCUUUCUGGUUUUGGUUUCAGACUAGGCUUUUGGUUUAAGGAAGAGAGUAUUGAUUCAUCAAAAUUUGUACACCUUAUUAUUAAUUCAUAUAUAACUUUCGGUUGAAUUACUUGUUCACUUUGAUUGGGUUUCAUCAACUAGAAAGGGUAAAUUUUAUUCACAUUAGUAAGGUUUGUUUAUUAUGCUAAGCUUUUUUGUUUGUGAUUUAUGUCUUUGAUUAGGUAUGCAGUGAAAGAAAGUAGCAUUUCUCAUUCUAAGUAUAGUUCCAUGGAAAGGUAAAUAAUCUUGAACUCGAAUAUAUACAAAGAGGUGAAUUCAAGAAAUUUACACCAUUGAUGUGUCAAUUAAAAAUAUGAAGUUCGAUCUAGUAAUAAUGAUAUGCCAUAGUAAGAUUGGUUAUGAAAUUUCAGUGUUUUGUUUUACUAUAUGCUUUUUGUUGGGAUCAAUUCCAGUGAACACUAAAGGUAUGUAUGUUCAAAAUUUUGAUGGCUAUAUUAUAUUGCUAACUGCUUCAUUCUUUUUGUAUAAUUUUGAUAGGAAUUAAGGACUAAUUUGGGGAAAUGAGAUAAAGUAGUAGAACUCACUUUGAUUUCACAUAUGACUCUUUGUCAACAUAUCUAUUCAAAUUUGUGGCCAGUUAUGAAGGGUCAUUCAAGGUUUGUUUGUGCAACCUGGAGAUACUUGAGGCAGCCAGCCAAUAAGAAGCGGCGCCUGCCUACGUUCACUUGGUUUACCACAAGCACCUUCACCACCUACACAGUUAUCAGCGGAGCACCACUGCUAUCUCUGUUGUUUUUGAAAGGGAGGCAAUUCUCAUGUGAUGGAGCCUGCUGCUGCUUUUCUUUCUCAGCAAUGGCUAAGUGGUGUAUAAUUGUCGCUGGUAUCUUAACUGCUUAGUAAUAUUAAUGUUGUAUCCUUAGCUAUUGCUUAGUGAGUUCCAUUGUAUUGGUGCAUUUUUUUCUGAACUGGUAUCCUGUAUCAUUUAGAGCUUGCUGAACAUCUUGUACACAAGACUUUUUGCUUUUAAUGCCAAUUUGCCUUUUCCAAAAAAAAAUUGAGUAUUGGAGUAGGUAUUUGCAUAAUUGUUUUGGAAGUUUCAUUUGCAUUGGAUUAGGUUUGGUCACCUAGGUAUGCAAAAAACGAAGAAAAAAAAAAUCAAACAUACCACUACUGAUAUGUGUAAAUACCCGUAGUGGAAUCCCCAAUUCUUAAAAAAAAAAAAA
Trifolium pratense (red clover) is the source of this 1750-nucleotide long non-coding RNA. RefSeq lists it as uncharacterized. NCBI's taxonomy places the organism in Eukaryota, Viridiplantae, Streptophyta, Magnoliopsida, Fabales, Fabaceae. The transcript has 6 exons. The record is from RefSeq and is a predicted model, not a curated record.